Molecule: transfer RNA, 81 nt
Filed under: Asparagus setaceus
Lineage: Eukaryota; Viridiplantae; Streptophyta; Magnoliopsida; Asparagales; Asparagaceae
Description: tRNA-Cys
Rfam family: tRNA (bases 1-71)
About the family: Transfer RNA (tRNA) molecules are approximately 80 nucleotides in length. Their secondary structure includes four short double-helical elements and three loops (D, anti-codon, and T loops).
Source: RNAcentral
GGCGGCAUGGCCAAGUGGUAAGGCGGGGGACUGCAAAUCCUUUAUCCCCAGUUCAAAUCCGGGUGUCGCCUGAGCAACAAA